UACGUAGGGUCCGAGCGUUGUCCGGAUUUAUUGGGCGUAAAGAGUUCGUAGGCGGUUCGUUAAGUCUGAUGUUAAAGACUGGGGCUCAACCCUGGGAGUGCAUUGGAUACUGGCGGACUGGAGUGCAGUAGAGGCAAGCGGAAUUCCAGGUGUAGCGGUGAAAUGCGUAGAUAUCUGGAAGAACACCGGUGGCGCAAGCGGCUUGCUGGGCUGUAACUGACGCUGAGGAACGAAAGCUAGGGUAGCGAAUGGG
RNAcentral lists this ribosomal RNA (253 nucleotides) under uncultured bacterium. Its description in RNAcentral is "partial 16S ribosomal RNA". It matches the Rfam family "Bacterial small subunit ribosomal RNA", at positions 524 to 776 of the family's 1533-position model. The record is from RNAcentral.